This is a non-coding RNA of Paramuricea clavata, 1257 nucleotides long. NCBI's taxonomy places the organism in Eukaryota, Metazoa, Cnidaria, Anthozoa, Malacalcyonacea, Plexauridae. The record is from the annotation of a GenBank genome assembly.
UUUUCCGCAUUUUACAACAUUUCGCAACCAAACUUUGCAAUUUUACUAAUUUUAACAUGCUCUUUCUAGCUGUGGUGAUGGAUUUUGUUCUUCUUGCCUAGAUCAAAAUUUUGUCUAUAGCUGAAUCUCCAUUAUGAGGCAAUCUUUUGCCGUCCAAAUUCUUCAACUACCGAUACAUACAUACAUACAUACAUACAUACAUACAUACAUACAUACAUACAUACAUACAUACAUACAUACAUACAUACAUACAUACAUACAUACAUACAUACAUACAUACAUACAUACAUACAUACAUACAUGAAUGACUUUAUUUAAAACACAGAGAACCGUCAGUAAAUAAUUAUGAUAAUUAGCUAUUUACAAAAGUUAAUAUAAGUUAAGGAAGAAGACAAGAUUGAAGGGAAGAAGGAGAAGAGGUACUGUUCUACCUGGUUGCCGUGUGGGAGUCGGUAAGACUGGAAGAAUAUAGAGAUUCCAGAUUUCCUUUAAACGAGGAGAGGGAUGAUGAUAAUCUAAGAGAUUCAGGCAAGCUGUUCCAAAGUGAUGCUCCAUUAUAACUGAAGGAAGGAAAGAUAAUCAGUAUUGGGCUUAGAAAUAAACAACUUGCCAUUGGAAUUUCUUAGUGAAUAUUGACAAUUCCUGGAUGAAAACAAUUCUUGUAAGUACUGGGGAGAUUGACCAUUAAGAGUUUUAAACAUAACAACAGCUUUUUGUUUAUGACGGUUAACCGACAAAGUGUCAGAAGGUGCAGGAAAUGACGGGGAAGCAAUAUCCCGUACUCCUAACUUCCAAUACUGGUAAUGGUCAAGAUCCUACUGUUUCUGUUUCUUCAGUUGAAAGUUUGAACAAACGUAGAGCAUGUAUUUUUGUUCGUAAAUGCUUGCCAUGGAUUUGUACCCAAUAAUUUUGCUAGUUAUUUCAAGAUAAAUUCUCACGGCAUGGACACAAGAAAUGCAUCUUGUCUGAUUCUAUUACCUAAGAUACAUACCGAAUAUGCCAGAAAUUCUUUUUAUUAUAUGCGGGCAAAAACCUAUAUAAUGAUCUUCCAACUGACAUCAGAAAGGUAUCCAACUUUAGUAUAAUUACGUAGGUGAUUAUUGAAAAUUCUCCACGCUGAUUGGUUGCCGUUGAGGUGAUUAUUACGCGAUAAUCACCUAAGCGAUUUUCAAAGUGGCAGCCGAAGAAGGCCGAAGCCUUUUUGUCAAUUAAAUGACGAAGAAAUGUGUCUUUUCUUGUUGUUUUCCAAAUAAUCAC